RNAcentral lists this ribosomal RNA (334 nucleotides) under uncultured eukaryote. RNAcentral describes it as "partial 18S ribosomal RNA". It matches the Rfam family "Eukaryotic small subunit ribosomal RNA", at positions 1470 to 1796 of the family's 1831-position model. The record is from RNAcentral.
CCCUUAGAUGUCCGGGGCCGCACGCGCGCUACACUGAAGGAAUCAGCGUGGCUUUCUCCCUGACCCGAAAGGGUUGGGAAACCCGUUGAAUUUCCUUCGUGAUAGGGAUUGGGGCUUGAAAUUGUUCCCCAUGAACGAGGAAUUCCCAGUAAGCGCGAGUCAUAAGCUCGCGUUGAUUACGUCCCUGCCCUUUGUACACACCGCCCGUCGCUACUACCGAUUGAACGGUUUAGUGAGGGCCUCGGAUUGGUCUCGGCCCGCUCUUUACCGGGCGGCGCCGUUGGUCGAGAAGACGCUCGAACUUGAUCGUUUAGAGGAAGUAAAAGUCGUAACA